AUUCUUCGCCUUUGUUACAGGCCCCACUGUGUACAUGUCUCAGCGAUUGUUAAUAUUAAUUUGAGUUCGUUGACAUGUCUGAAUUUAACAUAAACCAUGGACAAAACCAAUGUACCUAUCCGUAUGCUAUCCGUCUCAGUCUUAUGUCAAAUAUUUAAGACAACUAAACGUCAUCAAGUGGCUUAAUUAAUGAUUUGGAUGAAUAAAAACAACCAAAUUCGUGCUGUAAAAUGCUGCUUCGGGUCAUAUUAGCCAGGAAUCGUAUUAUCUUUUCGUCGAUACUCUUAAAUCAUACAAAGACAUGUCCGGCAGCAAAAAAAGAUCCUUGCGCGUCACAAGACAAAGUUAAGAGAUGUCCGUCGGGCAGCGGAGCAAAGAAAGAGGCAGGAGGCUCAGGCCAUUCAGGUCCUGGCCUCACACGGAACAUGUACUCUGGCCGCGUGCGCUUUGGCUUCCUUCCUGACGAAUGGUUCAAAUUCUUUUACAAACAAACCGGAGUCACAGGCCCUUACCUAUUCUUUUUUAACCUUGCCAAUUACUUGUUGAGCAAAGAAAUCUACGUCAUGGAACACGAGUACUACUUGGGGCUCUCCGCAUUAGUAGUUAUAGUUUAUGUCACUAAAUCUUUCGGAAAAGAUAUAGGCGCCAGUUUUGACAAGCAAGUGGAUGAGUACGCUGCUGAUUUGGAAAAAGGCCGAAAGAUGGAUUUGAAUUACUUUAAUGAAGCGAUAAAGUCUGCUAAAGAUGCUCAGCGUCGUGCCGAGGGGCAAAAGAUGUUGAUGGACGCGAAAAAAGAAAACGUUGCCAUGCAGUUGGAAGCGAUCUAUCGAGAGAGGGCAAUGGCGGUGUACCGCAGCGUUCGGGGCCGCAUGGACUACCACAUCAAGCGCUACCAGGCCGAGGCCCGCAUCCACCAGAAGUGGAUGCUGGGUUGGAUAUUGCGAGAAGUACAGAAGUCCAUUACGCCCGAGUUCCAGAAGCAGGCUUUGCAAAGCGCUAUUAGUGACUUGGCAGCUGCUGCUAGUAGAGCCUAAUGUCGGUAGGUCUAGUAUAUCCAAACCAAUCUCUGUACAAUUAUAUUGUUACACGUAACUUCACGGUGUUCGUUUUAUUAUUAUUGAAGUCGAAUUCCACCUGUAUUUAAUUAAAAGUAUUUACAUACAUAUAUACGUCUAGGCGUUGCAGAUUACCAAGAAUUAAUACUUAAAAAAUAUCAUAAAUGUCAGCUUUAUGUUUAAGUAUUUUAAUUACAGUAGCUAAUUUAAUAUAUGUGAGAUCGGAUGACCCCAUUGCAAAGCCCGAAGGAAAUUCUAGUAGUCCUUCGGUUUAUGUAGCUGUGAUUAGUAAUGACAAAAAAACUACUACUACCGAAGUAACAUUAUACCCGCCGUUGAGUGUCUUUGGCUUCGAUGUCCAGUGUAAAUUUCAACCGGAUUCAUACGAAUGUUCAAAGCCUCAUAGAUUUAUCAACAGGUGGUACUUCGAUACCAAGAUGGAAGAUUGCAAGAGUUUUAAAUGGUUCCGAUGCAAAUCUAACAAUCAGAAUAAUUUUGCAACCUAUGGUGAAUGCAGAGAAUUCUGUCAAGGCAA
Leguminivora glycinivorella is the source of this 1590-nucleotide RNA transcript. It is a transcript of the gene named tissue factor pathway inhibitor-like, with no coding region annotated. The transcript is spliced from 3 exons. The record is from RefSeq and is a predicted model, not a curated record. Lineage: Eukaryota; Metazoa; Arthropoda; Insecta; Lepidoptera; Tortricidae.